This 787-nucleotide ribosomal RNA is filed under the name uncultured Methanosarcinaceae archaeon. Its description in RNAcentral is "bacterial SSU rRNA". It matches the Rfam family "Archaeal small subunit ribosomal RNA", at positions 84 to 874 of the family's 1478-position model. Lineage: Archaea; Methanobacteriati; Methanobacteriota; Methanomicrobia; Methanosarcinales; Methanosarcinaceae. The record is from RNAcentral.
UACGGCUCAGUAACACGUGGAUAACCUGCCCAAGGGUCCGGGAUAACCCCGGGAAACUGGGGAUAAUACCGGAUGGAUCACUAGUGCUGGAAUGCUUGGUGGUCGAAAGGUAACGCCUUUGGAUGGGUCUGCGGCGGAUUAGGUUGACGCCGGUGUAACGUACCGGCGUGCCUGUAAUCCGUACGGGUUGUGGGAGCAAGAGCCCGGAGAUGGAUUCUGAGACACGAAUCCAGGCCCUACGGGGCGCAGCAGGCGCGAAAACUCUACAAUGCAGGCAACUGCGAUAGGGGGACAUCGAGUGGCAUCCACCUUGGGUGCCUGUCCAACCGUCUAAAAAACGGUUGUUAGCAAGGGCCGGGUAAGACCGGUGCCAGCCGCCGCGGUAAUACCGGCGGCUCGAGUGGUGGCCGAUAUUAUUGAGUCUAAAGGGUCCGUAGCCGGCUUUGCAAGUCCCCUGGGAAAUCCAGCGGCUUAACCGUUGGGCUUUCAUGGGAUACUACAUUGCUUGGGACUGGGAGAGGUAGGAGGUACUCGGGGGGUAGGGGUGAAAUCCUGUAAUCCUCCGGGGACCACCGGUGGCGAAGGCGUCCUACCAGAACAGGUCCGACGGUGAGGGACGAAAGCUAGGGGCACGAACCGGAUUAGAUACCCGGGUAGUCCUAGCCGUAAACGAUGCCCGCUAGGUGUCACGACGGUCGUGAAUCGUCGUGGUGCCGUAGGGAAGCCGCGAAGCGGGCCACUUGGGAAGUACGGCCGCAAGGCUGAAACUUAAAGGAAUUGGCGGGGG